UACGUAGGUGGCGAGCGUUGUCCGGAAUUAUUGGGCGUAAAGGGCGCGUAGGUGGUUUUUUAAGUCAGAUGUGAAAACUUAAGGCUUAACUUUAAGAUUGCAUUUGAAACUGGAAGACUUGAGGACAGGAGAGGAAAGCGGAAUUCCCAGUGUAGCGGUGAAAUGCGUAGAGAUUGGGAAGAACACCAGUGGCGAAGGCGGCUUUCUGGACUGCCCCUGACACUGAUGCGCGAAAGCUAGGGGAG
Molecule: ribosomal RNA, 245 nt
Filed under: uncultured bacterium
Lineage: Bacteria
Description: partial 16S ribosomal RNA
Rfam family: Bacterial small subunit ribosomal RNA
Source: RNAcentral